UGCGUAGGUGGCCGGGUAAGUCUGACGUGAAAUCUCCGAGCCUAACUCGGAAACUGCAUCGGAUACUAUCCGGCUUGAGGAUUGGAGGGGGGACGUGGAAUACUUGGUGUAGCAGUGAAAUGCGUAGAUAUCAAGUGGAACACCAGUGGCGAAGGCGAGUCCCUGGACAAUUCCUGACACUGAGGCACGAAAGCUAGGGGAGCAAACA
RNAcentral lists this ribosomal RNA (208 nucleotides) under uncultured bacterium. Its description in RNAcentral is "partial 16S ribosomal RNA". It matches the Rfam family "Bacterial small subunit ribosomal RNA", at positions 568 to 774 of the family's 1533-position model. The record is from RNAcentral.